UCGAGGGGAAACGAUGAGAGAGCUUGCUCUCCUAGGCGUCGACCGGCGCACGGGUGAGUAACGCGUAUCCAACCUGCCCAUUACAGGGGAAUAACCCUGCGAAAGUAAGACUAAUGCCCCAUGGUAUUCUCAGCAGACAUCUAAUGAGGAUUAAAGAUUUAUCGGUUAUGGAUGGGGAUGCGUCUGAUUAGCUUGCUGGCGGGGUAACGGCCCACCAGGGCAUCGAUCAGUAGGGGUUCUGAGAGGAAGGUCCCCCACAUUGGAACUGAGACACGGUCCAAACUCCUACGGGAGGCAGCAGUGAGGAAUAUUGGUCAAUGGGCGCAAGCCUGAACCAGCCAAGUAGCGUGCAGGAUGACGGCCCUAUGGGUUGUAAACUGCUUUUUAAGGGGAAUAAAGAGGGGCACGCGUGUCCUGUUGCAUGUACCCUUGGAAUAAGGACCGGCUAAUUCCGUGCCAGCAGCCGCGGUAAUACGGAAGGUCCAGGUGUUAUCCGGAUUUAUUGGGUUUAAAGGGAGCGUAGGCCGCAGGUUAAGUGUGUUGUGAAAAGCAGUCGCCCAACGUCUGCCUUGCAGCGCAAACUGUCCUGCUUGAGUGCGCACAACGCAGGCGGAAUUCGUCGUGUAGCGGUGAAAUGCUUAGAUAUGACGAAGAACUCCGAUUGCGAAGGCAGCUUGCGGGAGCGCAACUGACGCUGAAGCUCGAAAGUGCGGGUAUCGAACAGGAUU
Molecule: ribosomal RNA, 728 nt
Filed under: uncultured Prevotella sp.
Lineage: Bacteria; Pseudomonadati; Bacteroidota; Bacteroidia; Bacteroidales; Prevotellaceae
Description: bacterial SSU rRNA
Rfam family: Bacterial small subunit ribosomal RNA
Source: RNAcentral